Molecule: unclassified non-coding RNA, 330 nt
Filed under: soil metagenome
Description: partial contains 5.8S ribosomal RNA, internal transcribed spacer 2, and large subunit ribosomal RNA
Rfam family: 5.8S ribosomal RNA (bases 1-120)
Source: RNAcentral
GAUGAAGAACGUAGUGAAAUGCGAUAAGUAAUGUGAAUUGCAGAAUUCAGUGAAUCAUCGAAUCUUUGAACGCACAUUGCGCCCCCUGGUAUUCCGGGGGGCAUGCCUGUUCGAGCGUCAUUUCACCACUCAAGCCUCGCUUGGUAUUGGGCAACGCGGUCCGCCGCGUGCCUCAAAUCGACCGGCUGGGUCUUCUGUCCCCUAAGCGUUGUGGAAACUAUUCGCUAAAGGGUGCUCGGGAGGCUACGCCGUAAAACAAACCCAUUUCUAAGGUUGACCUCGGAUCAGGUAGGGAUACCUGCUGAACUUAAGCAUAUCAUAAGCGGAGGA